RNAcentral lists this ribosomal RNA (793 nucleotides) under uncultured bacterium. RNAcentral's name for it is "bacterial SSU rRNA". It matches the Rfam family "Bacterial small subunit ribosomal RNA", at positions 8 to 796 of the family's 1533-position model. The record is from RNAcentral.
AGAGUUUGAUCCUGGCUCAGAUUGAACGCUGGCGGCAGGCCUAACACAUGCAAGUCGAGCGGAUGAGUGGAGCUUGCUCCAUGAUUCAGCGGCGGACGGGUGAGUAAUGCCUAGGAAUCUGCCUGGUAGUGGGGGACAACGUUUCGAAAGGAACGCUAAUACCGCAUACGUCCUACGGGAGAAAGCAGGGGACCUUCGGGCCUUGCGCUAUCAGAUGAGCCUAGGUCGGAUUAGCUAGUUGGUGAGGUAAAGGCUCACCAAGGCGACGAUCCGUAACUGGUCUGAGAGGAUGAUCAGUCACACUGGAACUGAGACACGGUCCAGACUCCUACGGGAGGCAGCAGUGGGGAAUAUUGGACAAUGGGCGAAAGCCUGAUCCAGCCAUGCCGCGUGUGUGAAGAAGGUCUUCGGAUUGUAAAGCACUUUAAGUUGGGAGGAAGGGCAGUAAGCUAAUACCUUGCUGUUUUGACGUUACCGACAGAAUAAGCACCGGCUAACUUCGUGCCAGCAGCCGCGGUAAUACGAAGGGUGCAAGCGUUAAUCGGAAUUACUGGGCGUAAAGCGCGCGUAGGUGGUUCAGCAAGUUGGAUGUGAAAGCCCCGGGCUCAACCUGGGAACUGCAUCCAAGACUACUGAGCUAGAGUACGGUAGAGGGUGGUGGAAUUUCCUGUGUAGCGGUGAAAUGCGUAGAUAUAGGAAGGAACGCCAGUGGCGAAGGCGACCACCUGGACUGAUACUGACACUGAGGUGCGAAAGCGUGGGGAGCAAACAGGAUUAGAUACCCCGGUAGUCC